UCAAAGGUUUUCUAGGGUUCCGCAGUGCGUCAUUGCUGGUCUGGUCCGAGAGAAAACUCACAGCAUGCUGUGUCACGGAAGGAUAAAAGCCUGGGAGAA
This 99-nucleotide small RNA is filed under the name Bacillus sp. (in: firmicutes). RNAcentral describes it as "Bacillus sp. Guanidine-I sequence". It matches the Rfam family "Guanidine-I riboswitch aptamer". Rfam says of the family: This family represents a conserved RNA structure found upstream of the ykkC and yxkD genes in Bacillus subtilis and related genes in other bacteria. The function of this family is unclear although it has been suggested that it may function to switch on efflux pumps and detoxification systems in response to harmful environmental molecules. The record is from RNAcentral. Lineage: Bacteria; Bacillati; Bacillota; Bacilli; Caryophanales; Bacillaceae.